AUCCAGCUGAAGAGUCCCAAAUAGGAUGAAACACGCAUCCUGGAU
RNAcentral lists this non-coding RNA (45 nucleotides) under Schistosoma haematobium. Lineage: Eukaryota; Metazoa; Platyhelminthes; Trematoda; Strigeidida; Schistosomatidae. The record is from RNAcentral.